Camelus dromedarius (Arabian camel) is the source of this 1359-nucleotide long non-coding RNA. RefSeq lists it as uncharacterized. The transcript is spliced from 3 exons. Lineage: Eukaryota; Metazoa; Chordata; Mammalia; Artiodactyla; Camelidae. The record is from RefSeq and is a predicted model, not a curated record.
AGCAGUUCCUUUGUUCAUUUCUUUAUUCAGCAGUUUUGAGGACUGACUAUGCAUAAGGGUCUGGCUAGGUGCUUGGUACAGUAAACAAUAAAUGAUCCUUCUCUGCAGGGCCUGGAAGCCUAGACCAAAAGCUACAUAAUGUGAUCUGAGCUACGGUAGCCAUGUGCAGACUCUGAGGACAAACUGUACCCCCGUCUUUGCUUGGACUUCCCUUGCCUUCUGGCUGGUACACACCAGGUCACUGCAACCCAGAGGGGCCUGCAGCCCGCAGCACAGUAUGUACCUCGAUCUCCUCUCCCCUCUCUGCAGGGCCUGCAACAUGAGCAUCCCUGACUACGUUCAGAGUGCUGAGGACUACAAGACUCUCCCCAUGGUGGUCCAAGCCGUUGGGAUCAUCUCAGAGGAGAAUUUCUUUUGCAUUUAUAAGCAAAUCUCCUUGGUGAGCUGGAUCAUCCCCUGCGGCUACCAGUGGGCACUCUGUAUCUACUAUAGGCACCACUAUGCGCCCGAGAAUGGGUGGAGCGAACUCCAGACCAACCACAAGGUCGUGGGCCUUGUCACCAUUGCGGACUGCCUCUUGGCCAAGGCCUUCGAUAAGCUCCACGUGCAGAGGAGCUGUAUGGCACCACGCUUAAUGACUCUCAGCUCUUUGUCUUUGUGCUGCAUGGGGAGGUAGCCGAGCAGACAUGCACCUACGUGGCGUUCAAUCUACAAGGACUGCAGUGUGGUGAAGAGGAUCGAGGCCUUCACUGAGUCACUCUUCAUCUUGCUCAAGUCUAAGUGGCUGGAUGGGGCCCCCGACAAUUCUGGGGACAAGAUCCCGCUCCUCUGCAUCCUGUUUGAGAAGGAGGACUUCAUGGGACUGGACACAGACUGAAGUAACAAAGAAACAAGACAGAAAAAGCAGAGGAUGGUUUCUGUUCUUCCUCUCGGCUUGCAGGUGCCCUCACCUCCAGUGGCAUCCAUCCAGACACCAGCACUGACACUGGCCGUGCUCAGAACUGCCUCAGCCCUGAAGACACAACUGACAAAUAGAAGGGGGCCAUGCCCUGUUACAGCAGGUGCUCUCACUUUGUGGGUCCUUAUGUAACUGUGCAUUGUUAUUCAGGAUCGCCCGUUCUACAUUGUGUGACGCUGCUGCGGUGUCUCCUAGUUAUUUGUUUCUGAUCUGAGAAGCAGGAGCAAGGAACUCAGGGAGAGAUCCAGGAAGACAUCUGACUCUGUUAAGAGAUGACAGUCACAGCAACAAGGGGAGCGAAGACACUUGCAGCAAAGCAAAAUGACUUCACAACGAUUGCAUCAGAGCUGCAGGUGUGAGAGAGCCUAGGCCUGUCUCAGAGUGCAGGGGACAAGUGGAAA